RNAcentral lists this ribosomal RNA (301 nucleotides) under uncultured bacterium. Its description in RNAcentral is "partial 16S ribosomal RNA". It matches the Rfam family "Bacterial small subunit ribosomal RNA", at positions 509 to 807 of the family's 1533-position model. The record is from RNAcentral.
CAGCAGCCACGGUAAUACGAGGGGGGCAAGCGUUGUUCGGAAUUAUUGGGCGUAAAGGGCGCGUAGGCGGUUUGACAAGUCUUGUGUGAAAUCUCUGGGCUCAACCCAGAGUCUGCACGGGAAACUGUCGGGCUAGAGGAUGGGAGAGGUGAGUGGAAUUUCCGGUGUAGCGGUGAAAUGCGUAGAUAUCGGAAGGAACACCUGUGGCGAAAGCGGCUCACUGGACCAUUACUGACGCUGAGGCACGAAAGCGUGGGGAGCAAACAGGAUUAGAUACCCCAGUAGUCCCUGUCUCUUAUAC